This 291-nucleotide ribosomal RNA is filed under the name uncultured bacterium. Its description in RNAcentral is "partial 16S ribosomal RNA". It matches the Rfam family "Bacterial small subunit ribosomal RNA", at positions 506 to 796 of the family's 1533-position model. The record is from RNAcentral.
UGCCAGCCGCCGCGGUAAUACGGAGGGUGCAAGCGUUGUCCGGAUUUAUUGGGUUUAAAGGGUGCGUAGGCGGAUGAUUAAGUCAGUGGUGAAAGCCCACAGCUCAACUGUGGAACUGCCAUUGAUACUGGUUAUCUUGAGUAUAGAUGAGGCAGGCGGAAUUUACGAUGUAGCGGUGAAAUGCAUAGAUAUCGUAAAGAACACCUAUAGCGAAGGCAGCUUGCUAAACUAUAACUGACGCUGAGGCACGAAAGCAUGGGGAGCGAACAGGAUUAGAUACCCUAGUAGUCC